RNAcentral lists this ribosomal RNA (488 nucleotides) under Pseudomonas sp. CL3.99. Its description in RNAcentral is "bacterial SSU rRNA". It matches the Rfam family "Bacterial small subunit ribosomal RNA", at positions 17 to 500 of the family's 1533-position model. RNAcentral also lists the same sequence under 1 other name. Lineage: Bacteria; Pseudomonadati; Pseudomonadota; Gammaproteobacteria; Pseudomonadales; Pseudomonadaceae. The record is from RNAcentral.
CCCUGGCUCAGAUUGAACGCUGGCGGCAGGCCUAACACAUGCAAGUCGAGCGGAUGACAGGAGCUUGCUCCUGAAUUCAGCGGCGGACGGGUGAGUAAUGCCUAGGAAUCUGCCUGGUAGUGGGGGACAACGUUUCGAAAGGAACGCUAAUACCGCAUACGUCCUACGGGAGAAAGCAGGGGACCUUCGGGCCUUGCGCUAUCAGAUGAGCCUAGGUCGGAUUAGCUAGUUGGUGAGGUAAUGGCUCACCAAGGCGACGAUCCGUAACUGGUCUGAGAGGAUGAUCAGUCACACUGGAACUGAGACACGGUCCAGACUCCUACGGGAGGCAGCAGUGGGGAAUAUUGGACAAUGGGCGAAAGCCUGAUCCAGCCAUGCCGCGUGUGUGAAGAAGGUCUUCGGAUUGUAAAGCACUUUAAGUUGGGAGGAAGGGCAUUAACCUAAUACGUUAGUGUUUUGACGUUACCGACAGAAUAAGCACCGGCUAA